This 468-nucleotide ribosomal RNA is filed under the name uncultured bacterium. RNAcentral describes it as "partial 16S ribosomal RNA". It matches the Rfam family "Bacterial small subunit ribosomal RNA", at positions 28 to 507 of the family's 1533-position model. The record is from RNAcentral.
GGCGAACGCUGGCGGCGUGCUUAACACAUGCAAGUCGAACGGAAAGGCCCUGCUUUUGUGGGGUGCUCGAGUGGCGAACGGGUGAGUAACACGUGAGUAACCUGCCCUUGACUUUGGGAUAACUUCAGGAAACUGGGGCUAAUACCGGAUAGGAGCUCCUGCUGCAUGGUGGGGGUUGGAAAGUUUCGGCGGUUGGGGAUGGACUCGCGGCUUAUCAGCUUGUUGGUGGGGUAGUGGCUUACCAAGGCUUUGACGGGUAGCCGGCCUGCGAGGGUGACCGGCCACAUUGGGACUGGGAUACGGCCCAGACUCCUACGGGAGGCAGCGGAGGAGAAUAUUGCACAAUGGGCGGAAGCCUGAUGCAGCAACGCCGCGUGCGGGAUGACGGCCUUCGGGUUGUAUACCGCUUUCGCCUGUGACGAAGCGUGAGUGACGGUAAUGGGUAAAGAAGCACCGGCUAACUACGUG